UCCCUAGUGGCUCAGAGGGUAAAGCAUCUGCCUGCAAUGCAGGAGACCCAGGUUCGAUCCCUGGGUUGGGAA
This 72-nucleotide transfer RNA is filed under the name Ovis aries (sheep). It matches the Rfam family "tRNA". From Rfam's summary of the family: Transfer RNA (tRNA) molecules are approximately 80 nucleotides in length. Their secondary structure includes four short double-helical elements and three loops (D, anti-codon, and T loops). Lineage: Eukaryota; Metazoa; Chordata; Mammalia; Artiodactyla; Bovidae. The record is from Rfam by way of RNAcentral.